GUGUUUGUGUCAUGUGUCGUGUUUGUGCUUUUACAAUUUAAAAUAAAAAUGAAAACGGCGUCGUCUCUUCCAUAGAAAACAGUCUCAUCUCCUUAAUUGAAUUUCUGGUAGCUCCGCUGACUUCUACUGCUUUCCUUUCCCCAAUCUGUGGUGAUGCACAGUUGCAGUCCUUUUCCAUUAUAGGUAGAGACACUCUUACUCUUGAAUUUUUCAUUAACUUGCU
This 223-nucleotide long non-coding RNA is filed under the name Olea europaea (common olive). RNAcentral describes it as "long non-coding RNA (OEUR_LNC007156)". Lineage: Eukaryota; Viridiplantae; Streptophyta; Magnoliopsida; Lamiales; Oleaceae. The record is from RNAcentral.